GAAAAGCAAGAAUAAUUUACUUUGUUUUUCUUUUAUUAUUUUUACAGGCAACAGUGAUAAAUAGGAUUUGUGCAAUGGUAGUAACAAAUCAUCAUCUGUUGAAAAUGGCACUCAAGCAAAAUUGUGCAUUGAUUCUGAUCUUAAUAACAUCAGCCACAAUAUAGAAAACCCUCUAUAGUUUUCUACUUAUUCUCCGGACAAGUUAUGGAUGGCGAAUGUGAAAAGGUUACAAUUUACAAUUUGGUGGCUUAUUAAGAGAAUCAGUUAUCAAUGAAAUUAAUUUUGAUGAUGUUAAUUCACAAUGCCAAACGACAAACUCCAUUUGUCCAAAGAAUAAGCACAUCCAAUGCGAUAUACACUCCUCUGACAUGGCAGCAGGGAGAUCCAAGAAGAUCAUAUACCACAGAUAUUGAAAUGAGCAAAAUCUGAACCUGACUUUACGAUGACUAACUAACAAUUAUUUUUCAUAUUUAUACUUUUUACUAUAUUUAUAUUUAUACUAUUUAUACUUAUGUUAUUUUCAACUAUUUAUAGUCACCAGCUGUACCUGCAAGUUCCAAUGGUGGUACUGGAAUAAUAACAAAAGAACAUACAAGAGCAUCUCUUUUAUCCGAGCUUUUGUCAAUCAUAGGAGAUACAAACUACAACUACGACGACUAACAACUAUAUGAUAACCAAUCUAUUGAGGGUGAUGAUACUGUUACUACAGUUUCUCCAUUAUACAAACAAAUGCUGAAUGUUUUUGUGGAGAAAGCUGCUAUUGAAGAUGCAAUUUACUAUCUUGCUGAAGGAUUGCGAAGCAGCACAAUUGAUUUGGAUGCUUUCCUCAAACAAAUCAGGCACCUAUCGAGAAGACAAUUCAUACUCAGGGCACUCGUGUCUGCACUUUGAAAGCAGAAAGCUGGAUUAGCAAAUUAAAAAAAAAGAAAGAUCCUUUCACAUUAUUAUUUUAUUUUUCAAAAUGUAUCAAAGUUUGCUGAUACACGUCUAUAGUAUCAUCCUCAUCCAUCUGUAUAACAUAGAAGUCCAGUUCAUGAACAGGUUGACUGACCAUCAAACCAGAAUCGCACUGCAGUAAUUGCAAGUUGUCUGCAAUUGCUUGUUCAUAAAGUGUUUGGGAUAAAUUAAAUCCUGCAUACCUUUCAGACUUCUGACAUAAGCAACAUAGUGACGUAACACAUUACUUGCAAUGGGUUCUUCAUAUGCUAUUACACCAGUUAAAAUAAACUUUCCAGUAGAAAAUGUUAGAACAGGUACUAAUUGAUCUAAGUUUACGAUUUUAGCUUCUUUUUCCACAUUUAUACAAAACAGAUCACUUAUUGAAUAUUGACAUAUAAUAUCUGUGUUUGAACAAAUAUUGCAACAAUUUCUUUUUGCUAGCAGACAAUUAUGUAUGAUAACUGACAAGUUUUCAGAGACUAACUCUUCAAAUGAAACUUCCACUAGAUUACAAUAUUGAUAAUUACUUAGUUUGCAAUCAAGACACUCCAUUUUUAUAAAAAUGUUUGGAUACAUGAUAUAUUCAAAAAAUUCUCCUAUUGACUUAUUCCAUGUUAAUUUAUUAUUUGUUGAUUGGCACACAUUCUCGAUUAAUUUAAUUCUUUCCGCAUACAAUUUUGUAAAAUUAAAUGUUCUAAUAUACUCUUUAAAUAAAUUUUAAAUUUCUAACGCAAGGUUAUAACCAACAUUGUCAGUUUCUAUAUUGCAUAUAUACAAUCAGAGUAUCAGCUGUCAGAUGCAUAUGGUUUGUUUACAUUAGAGAGAAUCAGAUGUGUAUUUCAUCAAAAUUUCUCAGAAGAAAUUUGUUCUAAAAAAGAAACUAAAGAUAAUGUGUAAUAAAUCCACGUAUUUGAUAAAAGUUUCUACAAUAAGUAAAGUACAAAAAAACACUUGUUCAAAGCUGCUGCAAGCAUUGGAGCACCAAGAGACCGCUGUGAGUCAGGUGCUGCGACAAGUUGACCUCCACUGAUCUCAACUCAUUCCUACUGAGCAUCUCCAAUUGUAUCAUCCUCCUUGAGGAUGUCAUCCUGGUGAGGAUGUCUACGAAUCUGCUUGUAUCAAUGUAGAUCCCUUCAGCGAGACACCACUUGAUAUAGAUGUCACUUAUACAGUUUUUUCUACUGCACCUUACAAAUACUUACAUACAAAUAGCAGUCAACCCAGAAGGUACGAUAAAAGCUAGAUGUUGUGUUGAUGUUCUUAUGCAACAUGAACU
Nasonia vitripennis (jewel wasp) is the source of this 2215-nucleotide long non-coding RNA. RefSeq lists it as uncharacterized. The record is from RefSeq and is a predicted model, not a curated record. NCBI's taxonomy places the organism in Eukaryota, Metazoa, Arthropoda, Insecta, Hymenoptera, Pteromalidae. The transcript has 5 exons.